Long non-coding RNA from Pan troglodytes (chimpanzee), 407 nucleotides. RefSeq lists it as uncharacterized. The transcript is spliced from 2 exons. NCBI's taxonomy places the organism in Eukaryota, Metazoa, Chordata, Mammalia, Primates, Hominidae. The record is from RefSeq and is a predicted model, not a curated record.
GGGGCUGGGAGUGAGGCCAGGUGGAGGUGGGGAAGCCAAGGGAGGGGAGGCCGGCCAGGUAGCCACGGAAGGCGCCAGGAGAGACAGCAAUGGCAGCAAGGAUGCACCAAGAGGGACCCAAGAGCACCGCUGAGGCAGUCCUGCCAAAACAGUGACUUGAUCCAUUCCGGAGGAAACAUCAGCCCCCAACCCCCGCCAAAAAAAAGAAACUGGCCUGGACUCUUUGAAAGGGACUGAGACAUGACAGCAGAAUGCCAAGUCUUUUGCUAUAAAUGACAAUAGUGGGACAACUGGUAAAAUCUGAGUAAGAUCUGUAGACUGGAUACCAGUACUGUAUCAGCGUUAGUUUCCUGAGUUGGAUUGUUAUACCUAGUAAUGUAAGAAAAUGACCUUUCUUUUCAAGGAAA